CAAAAUGAUGAUCGUUGACCACAACAUCAAUCCGGGUGACUCGUGAGCCAUGGAUAAACAUGCAUCACCAGCUGAAC
This 77-nucleotide small nucleolar RNA is filed under the name Millerozyma farinosa CBS 7064. RNAcentral describes it as "Piso0_002436". Lineage: Eukaryota; Fungi; Ascomycota; Pichiomycetes; Serinales; Debaryomycetaceae. The record is from RNAcentral.